UACGGAGGGUGCAAGCGUUAAUCGGAAUUACUGGGCGUAAAGAGCACGUAGGCGGUCUAGUAAGUCGGGUGUGAAAGCCCUAGGCUCAACCUAGGAACUGCAUCCGAUACUGCGAGGCUAGAGUACGAGAGAGGGGGGUAGAAUUCCUGGUGUAGCGGUGAAAUGCGUAGAUAUCAGGAGGAAUACCAGUGGCGAAGGCGGCCCCCUGGACCGAUACUGACGCUGAGGUGCGAAAGCGUGGGGAGCAAACAGG
This 253-nucleotide ribosomal RNA is filed under the name uncultured bacterium. RNAcentral's name for it is "partial 16S ribosomal RNA". It matches the Rfam family "Bacterial small subunit ribosomal RNA", at positions 524 to 776 of the family's 1533-position model. The record is from RNAcentral.